Cebus imitator (Panamanian white-faced capuchin) is the source of this 255-nucleotide long non-coding RNA. RefSeq lists it as uncharacterized. The record is from RefSeq and is a predicted model, not a curated record. The transcript has 3 exons. NCBI's taxonomy places the organism in Eukaryota, Metazoa, Chordata, Mammalia, Primates, Cebidae.
CAAGGAGGAAGAGAGGGCAGUGGAUACGGGGAUACGGGAGAAGACACUGAGCAUCGUCAUGUCACCCCUUCCUGUGACCGAACCGUCCCCCAACCUUCAGCAAAGCUUCUCUACUAACAGCAUGCAUUCUGAAAAAGUUUGCUGAAUCCCAAUUUAUACAUUGGAAUGAAGAACACUGGAAUGGAAAAUAUUUUCUAGGAAGGAUACACAAGAAACUGCUUAUGGUGGAGUUGGAUUAGAAGAGGCAAGGAUAUC